Molecule: ribosomal RNA, 567 nt
Filed under: uncultured Staphylococcus sp.
Lineage: Bacteria; Bacillati; Bacillota; Bacilli; Caryophanales; Staphylococcaceae
Description: bacterial SSU rRNA
Rfam family: Bacterial small subunit ribosomal RNA
Source: RNAcentral
UGAGACACGGUCCAGACUCCUACGGGAGGCAGCAGUAGGGAAUCUUCCGCAAUGGGCGAAAGCCUGACGGAGCAACGCCGCGUGAGUGAUGAAGGUCUUCGGAUCGUAAAACUCUGUUAUUAGGGAAGAACAUAUGUGUAAGUAACUGUGCACAUCUUGACGGUACCUAAUCAGAAAGCCACGGCUAACUACGUGCCAGCAGCCGCGGUAAUACGUAGGUGGCAAGCGUUAUCCGGAAUUAUUGGGCGUAAAGCGCGCGUAGGCGGUUUUUUAAGUCUGAUGUGAAAGCCCACGGCUCAACCGUGGAGGGUCAUUGGAAACUGGAAAACUUGAGUGCAGAAGAGGAAAGUGGAAUUCCAUGUGUAGCGGUGAAAUGCGCAGAGAUAUGGAGGAACACCAGUGGCGAAGGCGACUUUCUGGUCUGUAACUGACGCUGAUGUGCGAAAGCGUGGGGAUCAAACAGGAUUAGAUACCCUGGUAGUCCACGCCGUAAACGAUGAGUGCUAAGUGUUAGGGGGUUUCCGCCCCUUAGUGCUGCAGCUAACGCAUUAAGCACUCCGCCUGGGG